This is a long non-coding RNA of Panicum hallii, 882 nucleotides long. RefSeq lists it as uncharacterized. The transcript has 3 exons. The record is from RefSeq and is a predicted model, not a curated record. Lineage: Eukaryota; Viridiplantae; Streptophyta; Magnoliopsida; Poales; Poaceae.
CUCUCAACCCUCUGCUUCUCUCUCUGCUGCACUCGGGUGGCGUGUCUGCUGGUCCCAGGCCCGUCGAUGGCCAGGAGCGGGGUGGGCGACCGCUCCGGCUCCCCACCUACGAAGGGCUCCCGAAUUUCGGGAUUUUCACAGCCCAAGGUCCAGUCGUCAGACAAUUCCGUGCUAACAAAUCGUCACAGGCUCACAGCGAGCUGCCGUCCUGUCCCGUCCCGUCCCGUACCUGCAUUGCGUGUCACGCCUGGCGCAUCCCUUCCGCCUUCCCCGUCAGCCGUCCACGACCUCACGAUCUGUGAUCCUGUCGGCCGCAGCUGCUGCCGACGGUGAGCCCCUCGCGCUGGCCUCUGCCUUGAACCAGUCCGUGCCGUGCAUGUCUUCUAGGUGCCUCUGCCUUGAACCAAGGGCAAGCUGCGAAGGCCUGAAUCCAACUUGAGGCAUGUAUUGCCGUUAGCAUGGAGGUAAUAAUACUAACUACACAGAUGAUGCAUGAGGGCCCCAUCUAGCAUUUUGCACUGGGGCCCCAAAUUUCUGGAGACGACCCUGGCUGGUCCGAAGAGGGAGUGCCCUGGAUCCCGGGUGGCUGUGGCUCUCGUACACGCACGCAUCCUUCUCCAAUUCAUAUGUCUGCACUUCGACCCGCGAAGCGAUCGGGCAUGGUUUCUGAACUCGGAACCUGCAUUUCGUUGCAGCAAUAUGCAUUAGCGUUGCCAGUUGCAACGGCGAUCAUUCCAAUUUCUGAGCCAAUGGGUUUUAUAUUUUUCUUUUUUCCCCUUCUCUCGCUGUUGUGUGGCUGAUGACUGAUGCUUCCUUAUCGUUGCGACCUGCAAAUGGCGGUGCUGUUUUCUUAGUUCUUACCAGUGGACCUGGCUUUGCAUU